This 1831-nucleotide long non-coding RNA is filed under the name Pogona vitticeps (central bearded dragon). RNAcentral's name for it is "lncRNA (ENSPVIG00000003852.1)". Lineage: Eukaryota; Metazoa; Chordata; Lepidosauria; Squamata; Agamidae. The record is from RNAcentral.
CAGAGAUUUUAUGGACCAAGGACUUGAUGUGGCCAGCUAGAGAGGUCUUGCAAGAGUGUUUUCAGAGAUGAUGUGGAUGAUUUACAGACAUUCUGACCAGUAUUUUUUUUAAAAGAAAUGGUGACUGUCAUUUUAAAGGCUGAACACUCACUUGUGCUGCUUUACUGCGUCCAUCUAUGUAGUAUUUGAUUGUCUUCCCUGUUUUCCAGGAAAACCAUUGAAUUGUGGAGCACAGAAAUCGUUCACCUGUGAUAGACGCUGGUUGGUUUAUUUGGGGUCCAACUCCUAAAAUUUUUGAAAAUUCCCAUGGUGGAAUUUUGGGCUGCAGACCCACAUCUUCAUGCACUUACAUUUCCCCCGAAGACUACUCAACGGAGAGUGAAUUUGAGGCCUCAUUUUCCUGCCCCAUUUCUUUUCUGGAUAUUCUAGUUUCUUGCCCUUUCACCUCUACGGUGGGCCCCUCCCAAAGAACUGCGACUCCCAGGAAGCAUUGCAGCCUCAGACAGGUGAGGUAAAUACACGCAUCAGACAGUAUGAGUUUGUGGACUGGGAUUCCCAAGAUUUGUGGGGGUGUGUGGGUGUUGGAGUCCAUAAAUUUCAAAUGGCAUCUCUGGACUGUCUUGUUUCGGUAGGUUUAGAUACUGAGCGUUGUGGUGCAGUGGUUGAACUGCAGUCCUGCAGCCAAAACUUUGCUCAUGACACGAGUUCAAUUCCAUGAGUCAAGGUAGACUCACUCUUUGGGGUUGGAAAAUUGAAUGCUCAGCUCACAGGGGUGGCGUGGGGGUAGGAAUAUAUAGCCUGCAGGAUUGUUAUCAGCUCAGAGAGUGCUUUGAAUGAUCCCGGGCUCUAUAUAAGCAUCACACAGUGCGAUCAAUGACAAAAAAAACAGCUGGAUGAGAUCGUCCCAUGCGAAGCAAUGGGAUUGCUUAACUAAGACUAGGCUCGGGGACAGGAUUGUACUCGUAGAAGGAUUCUCCUCUGUUGUCCCAGGUGGCCCAUGAGGACAAAUGCUUGGUGCAUACCUGGAAGGCCAGGAACUCUUCUUGAGGGUGAGCAGAAGCAGCUGGAGACCCUGGAGGACCCAGAAGAUGAUGAGGGAGAAGAAGCUCCUGCUCUCCCCUCAGGCUUAUUGGAGGCUUCUCCAGAUCUUCAGGGGAUGGAUUCUUUUCUACAGCGGAAUCGGGGAGCCUUUCAUCCUUGGAAUGAUGUACAGGAGGAGGAAGGAAAACUCCACAGGACAUCCCCAGAAAGAGUGGAGGAUGAAAACGGGAACUGUGGGAUCAGAGAUGAAUCACGAAGGCAGAAGGAAAACGAGGCAAAUGAGAGGAAAAACAAACCUCACCCUUAUCUGAGAGGAGUUGUCUGUCAAGAAGAAGAGGACAAGAUAAUAAACAAGCGCCUCAAUGUCCUUCAGAGCUCAGAGUCUGUGCUAAGGAGUCCUCUGAGGAAAAGCCCAGUGAAAUGUCCAACAUGCCACACAGAGGAAAAUCUUUGUAAAUGUUUGGAGCAUGGAGAGAGUUCCAGAAGGAACCCAGAAGACUCAAGAUUUCCCACAAGAGAGAAAACUUAUGAAGACUCUGGGUCUGAAAAAUGCUUCAGCGUUAGCUCAUCUCUUCAAGUCUCUCAGCCUGUGGACUCAGAAGAAAAAUUGUAUAAAGGUGAAGAAUGUGGCAAGAGCUUCAAGGGAAGUUCUGGACUUAAGCGACGUCAGGGAAUGGAGAGUGAGAAGAGCUGCCACAAAUGUCUUAAAUGUGGAAAGUUCUUCAUGUGGCAUUUAAGUCUUAGAGAACAUCAAAAAAUUCAUAUAGGACAGAAACCGUUUCCCUGUGAA